GAUGCAGUUGUCUUCCGAAGGUUAUAUCUUCCUCAUUUCAGCUCCAAAUCGUACACGGUUUGAAGCGUUGGAUUCUUGAAUUCCUGAGCUUUGAAAUGGUAUAUAGAAUGUAGAAAAUGGACUUCGGGAAGUGCUCCAAAAGUGCGAAGGAAGACUGCAGCUGCUGUCCUCUGUUUUCUUCACUUUGCUUGAUUUUCCUCUUUGCUUC
This 208-nucleotide long non-coding RNA is filed under the name Vitis vinifera (wine grape). RNAcentral's name for it is "long non-coding RNA (VVIN_LNC004619)". Lineage: Eukaryota; Viridiplantae; Streptophyta; Magnoliopsida; Vitales; Vitaceae. The record is from RNAcentral.